RNAcentral lists this non-coding RNA (29 nucleotides) under Mus musculus (house mouse). The record is from RNAcentral. Lineage: Eukaryota; Metazoa; Chordata; Mammalia; Rodentia; Muridae.
UGAUCGAUCUGCCUGGUGGUCCACGCCUU